RNAcentral lists this ribosomal RNA (253 nucleotides) under uncultured bacterium. RNAcentral's name for it is "partial 16S ribosomal RNA". It matches the Rfam family "Bacterial small subunit ribosomal RNA", at positions 524 to 776 of the family's 1533-position model. The record is from RNAcentral.
UACAGAGGUCUCAAGCGUUGUUCGGAUUCAUUGGGCGUAAAGGGUGCGUAGGUGGCGAGGUUAGUCAGGUGUGAAAUCUCGGGGCUCAACCCCGAAACUGCACUUGAUACUGCCUUGCUAGAGUACUGGAGAGGAGAUUGGAAUUUACGGUGUAGCAGUGAAAUGCGUAGAUAUCGUAAGGAACGCCAGUGGCGAAAGCGAAUCUCUGGGCAGCAACUGACGCUGAGGCACGAAGGCCAGGGGAGCAAACGGG